ACUGCUCAGUAACACGUAGUCAACAUGCCCAGGGGACGUGGAUAACCUCGGGAAACUGAGGAUAAACCGCGAUAGGCCAUGAUUUCUGGAAUGGUUCAUGGCUGAAAUCUAUAUGGCCCCUGGAUUGGACUGCGGCCGAUCAGGCUGUUGGUGAGGUAAUGGCCCACCAAACCUGUAACCGGUACGGGCUCUGAGAGGAGGAGCCCGGAGAUGGGCACUGAGACAAGGGCCCAGGCCCUAUGGGGCGCAGCAGGCGCGAAAUCUCUGCAAUAGGCGAAAGCUUGACAGGGUUACUCUGAGUGAUUCCCGCUAAGGGGAUCUUUUGGCACCUUUAAAAAUGGUGCAGAAUAAGGGGUGGGCAAGUCUGGUGUCAGCCGCCGCGGUAAUACCAGCACCCCGAGUGGUCGGGACGAUUAUUGGGCCUAAAGCAUCCGUAGCCGGUACUGCAAGUCUUCCGUUAAUCCACCCGCUUAACGGAUGGGCUGCGGGGGAUACUGCAGAGCUAGGAGGCGGGAGAGGCAAACGGUACUCAGUGGGUAGGGGUAAAAUCCUUUGAUCUACUGAAGACCACCAGUGGCGAAGGCGGUUUGCCAGAACGCGCUCGACGGUGAGGGAUGAAAGCUGGGGGAGCAAACCGGAUUAGAUACCCGGGUAGUCCCAGCUGUAAACGAUGCAGACUCGGUGAUGGGUUGGCCUCGAGCCAACCCAGUGCCGCAGGGAAGCCGUUAAGUCUGCCGCCUGGGGAGUACGGUCGCAAGACUGAAACUUAAAGGAAUUGGCGGGGGAGCAC
RNAcentral lists this ribosomal RNA (790 nucleotides) under uncultured archaeon. Its description in RNAcentral is "bacterial SSU rRNA". It matches the Rfam family "Archaeal small subunit ribosomal RNA", at positions 85 to 879 of the family's 1478-position model. The record is from RNAcentral.